RNAcentral lists this ribosomal RNA (253 nucleotides) under uncultured bacterium. RNAcentral describes it as "partial 16S ribosomal RNA". It matches the Rfam family "Bacterial small subunit ribosomal RNA", at positions 524 to 776 of the family's 1533-position model. The record is from RNAcentral.
UACAGAGGUCCCAAGCGUUGUUCGGAUUCACUGGGCGUAAAGGGUGCGUAGGCGGGCAGAUAAGUCAGUGGUGAAAUACCUGAGCUUAACUUGGGAACUGCCAUUGAUACUAUUUGUCUUGAAUGUCGUGGAGGUUAGCGGAAUAUGUCAUGUAGCGGUGAAAUGCUUAGAGAUGACAUAGAACACCUAUUGCGAAGGCAGCUAACUACGCGAAUAUUGACGCUGAGGCACGAAAGCGUGGGGAUCAAACAGG